This 467-nucleotide ribosomal RNA is filed under the name uncultured bacterium. RNAcentral's name for it is "partial 16S ribosomal RNA". It matches the Rfam family "Bacterial small subunit ribosomal RNA", at positions 29 to 507 of the family's 1533-position model. The record is from RNAcentral.
ACGCACGCUGGCGGCGUGCUUAACACAUGCAAGUCGAACGGAAAGGCCCUGCUUUUGUGGGGUGCUCGAGUGGCGAACGGGUGAGUAACACGUGAGUAACCUGCCCUUGACUUUGGGAUAACUUCAGGAAACUGGGGCUAAUACCGGAUAGGAGCUCCUGCUGCAUGGUGGGGGUUGGAAAGUUUCGGCGGUUGGGGAUGGACUCGCGGCUUAUCAGCUUGUUGGUGGGGUAGUGGCUUACCAAGGCUUUGACGGGUAGCCGGCCUGAGAGGGUGACCGGCCACAUUGGGACUGAGAUACGGCCCAGACUCCUACGGGAGGCAGCAGUGGGGAAUAUUGAACAAUGGGCGGAAGCCUGAUGCAGCAACGCCGCGUGCGGGAUGACGGCCUUCGGGUUGUAAACCGCUUUCGCCUGUGACGAAGCGUGAGUGACGGUAAUGGGUAAAGAAGCACCGGCUAACUACGUG